Molecule: non-coding RNA, 30 nt
Filed under: Homo sapiens (human)
Lineage: Eukaryota; Metazoa; Chordata; Mammalia; Primates; Hominidae
Source: RNAcentral
GCCUGAUGGUUCUGUCUCUGGCUCUUUCAG